GCCAAGAUUGAGACCUGGAGAACGGCCUCCUUCUGCCCCCUUGCCUGCCCGGCUAACAGCCACUACGAGAUGUGUACCAGAUCCUGCGAUUUCACCUGUGCCAGCUUGUUUGCCCCUGCCCAGUGCACCGGGAAGUGCUUUGAAGGCUGCUGGUGUGAUCCAGAAUAUGUGUCCGAUGGGGAGACAUGCGUCUCCAUGGACAGGUGUGGCUGUGUGCACAAUGGACGCUACAUCAAGGCCGGGGAGAGCUUUUUCUCCAGCAACUGCUCUGAGA
Non-coding RNA from Chelonoidis abingdonii (Abingdon island giant tortoise), 274 nucleotides. Lineage: Eukaryota; Metazoa; Chordata; Testudines; Testudinidae. The record is from RefSeq and is a predicted model, not a curated record.